Molecule: ribosomal RNA, 373 nt
Filed under: uncultured Bacteroidota bacterium
Lineage: Bacteria; Pseudomonadati; Bacteroidota
Description: bacterial SSU rRNA
Rfam family: Bacterial small subunit ribosomal RNA
Source: RNAcentral
UAAUACGAAGGGUGCAAGCGUUAUCCGGAUUUAUUGGGUUUAAAGGGUCCGUAGGCGGAUCUUUAAGUCAGUGGUGAAAUCCUGCAGCUUAACUGUAGAAUUGCCAUUGAUACUGGAGAUCUUGAGUACACUGGAAGUAGGCGGAAUACGGCAUGUAGCGGUGAAAUGCAUAGAUAUGCCGUAGAACACCGAUUGCGAAGGCAGCUUACUAUCGUGUAACUGACGCUGAGGGACGAAAGCGUGGGUAGCGAACAGGAUUAGAUACCCUGGUAGUCCACGCCGUAAACGAUGAUUACUCGUUGUUAGCGAUACACUGUUAGCGACCAAGCGAAAGCUUUAAGUAAUCCACCUGGGGAGUACGCCGGCAACGGUG